GGGUAUAGCUCAGUAUUAGAGUGCAUGCCUAGCAUGUAUGAGGUCCUAGGUUCAAUCCUCAGUACUUCCA
This 70-nucleotide transfer RNA is filed under the name Camelus bactrianus (Bactrian camel). It matches the Rfam family "tRNA". Rfam says of the family: Transfer RNA (tRNA) molecules are approximately 80 nucleotides in length. Their secondary structure includes four short double-helical elements and three loops (D, anti-codon, and T loops). RNAcentral also lists the same sequence under 2 other names. Lineage: Eukaryota; Metazoa; Chordata; Mammalia; Artiodactyla; Camelidae. The record is from Rfam by way of RNAcentral.